GAUGAACGCUAGCUACAGGCUUAACACAUGCAAGUCGAGGGGCAGCAUGAACAAAGCUUGCUUUGUUCGAUGGCGACCGGCGCACGGGUGAGUAACGCGUAUCCGACCUGCCCAUGACUCGGGCACAGCCGCUCGAAAGAGCGAUUGAUUCCCGAUAUGUCGUUAGAGUAGAUCUAAUGAUGAAAGAUUCAUCGGUCAUGGAUGGGGAUGCGUAGGAUUAGGUAGUAGGCGGGGUAACGGCCCACCUAGCCGACGAUCCUUAGGGGUUCUGAGAGGAAGGUCCCCCCANACUGGUACUGAGACACGGACCAGACUCCUACGGGAGGCAGCAGUGAGGAAUAUUGGUCAAUGGGCGGAAGCCUGAACCAGCCAAGUAGCGUGAAGGAUUACUGCCCUACGGGUUUUAAACUCUUUUAUGCGAGAGUAAUGUGCGCUACGUGUAGCGUAUUGCAAGUAUCGCAUGAAUAAGCAUCGGCUAACUCCG
This 484-nucleotide ribosomal RNA is filed under the name uncultured bacterium. Its description in RNAcentral is "bacterial SSU rRNA". It matches the Rfam family "Bacterial small subunit ribosomal RNA", at positions 28 to 505 of the family's 1533-position model. The record is from RNAcentral.